GGAGAGGUCCAAAUGGAAAAACAUGUUCAAAAUGUUGCAUCCCAUUAGCACCCGGAUGAUGUUAGGAUGAAUAUAAGCUGGAGGGAUCUGGGUGUGGUGCAAGAAUUGUUUGAAAUUUGACAAAAGAGGAAAGUGGAGCCCUGCGUUGAAUUGUUCCUUACUAAAGAAAAUGGUGUUAUGCGCAGCCUUCCCAGUCAGUGUUAGACCUCCCUCUACCAACUGAACAGAGACGCCAAUGGGAAUGAAGAAGCGUUCGCUGAAUUCCCUCUCAUUGAGAAGCUUAGUAGGCUUUCCCACACUAG
This 302-nucleotide long non-coding RNA is filed under the name Vitis vinifera (wine grape). RNAcentral describes it as "long non-coding RNA (VVIN_LNC002955)". The record is from RNAcentral. Lineage: Eukaryota; Viridiplantae; Streptophyta; Magnoliopsida; Vitales; Vitaceae.